This 482-nucleotide ribosomal RNA is filed under the name uncultured bacterium. RNAcentral's name for it is "partial 16S ribosomal RNA". It matches the Rfam family "Bacterial small subunit ribosomal RNA", at positions 30 to 507 of the family's 1533-position model. The record is from RNAcentral.
AUUGAACGCUGGCGGCAUGCCUAACACAUGCAAGUCGAACGGUAACGGGCCUUCGGGUGCCGCCGAGUGGCGGACGGGUGCGUACUACAUCGGAACGUGCCCGAUCGUGGGGUAUAGCGAGGCGAAAGCUUUGCUAAUACCGCAUACGAUCUCCGACUGAAAGCGGGGGACCGCAAGGGCUUGCGCGGCCGGACCGGCCGGUGGCAGAUUAGGUAGUUGGUGGGAUAAAAGGUUACCAAGCCGACGAUCUGUAGCUGGUCUGAGAGGAUGAUCAGCCACACUGGGACUGAGACACGGCCCAGACUCCUACGGGAGGCAGCAGUGGGGAAUUUUGGACAAUGGGCGCAAGCCUGAUCCAGCCAUGCCGCGUGCAGGAUGAAGGCCUUCGGGUUGUAAACUGCUUUUGUACGGAACGAAAAGCCUUCUUUUAAUACAGGAGGGUCAUGACGGUACCGUAAGAAUAAGCACCGGCUAACUACGUG